GGGUUGUGAGGUUAAGCGACUAAGCGUACACGGUGGAUGCCCUGGCAGUCAGAGGCGAUGAAGGACGUGCUAAUCUGCGAUAAGCGCCGGUAAGGUGAUAUGAACCGUUAUAACCGGCGAUUUCCGAAUGGGGAAACCCAGUGUGACUCGUCACACUAUCAUUAACUGAAUCCAUAGGUUAAUGAGGCGAACCGGGGGAACUGAAACAUCUAAGUACCCCGAGGAAAAGAAAUCAACCGAGAUUCCCCCAGUAGCGGCGAGCGAACGGGGAGGAGCCCAGAGCCUGAAUCAGCAUGUGUGUUAGUGGAAGCGUCUGGAAAGGCGCGCGAUACAGGGUGACAGCCCCGUACACAAAAGCGCAUGUGCUGUGAGCUCGAUGAGUAGGGCGGGACACGUGGUAUCCUGUCUGAAUAUGGGGGGACCAUCCUCCAAGGCUAAAUACUCCUGACUGACCGAUAGUGAACCAGUACCGUGAGGGAAAGGCGAAAAGAACCCCGGCGAGGGGAGUGAAAAAGAACCUGAAACCGUGUACGUACAAGCAGUGGGAGCACAGGUUUACCUGUGUGACUGCGUACCUUUUGUAUAAUGGGUCAGCGACUUAUAUUCUGUAGCAAGGUUAACCGAAUAGGGGAGCCGGAGGGAAACCGAGUCUUAAUUGGGCGUUAAGUUGCAGGGUAUAGACCCGAAACCCGGUGAUCUAGCCAUGGGCAGGUUGAAGGUUGGGUAACACUAACUGGAGGACCGAACCGACUAAUGUUGAAAAAUUAGCGGAUGACCUGUGGCUGGGGGUGAAAGGCCAAUCAAACCGGGAGAUAGCUGGUUCUCCCCGAAAGCUAUUUAGGUAGCGCCUCGUGAACUCAUCUCCGGGGGUAGAGCACUGUUUCGGCUAGGGGGCCAUCCCGGCUUACCAACCCGAUGCAAACUGCGAAUACCGGAGAAUGUUAUCACGGGAGACACACGGCGGGUGCUAACGUCCGUCGUGAAGAGGGAAACAACCCAGACCGCCAGCUAAGGUCCCAAAGUCAUGGUUAAGUGGGAAACGAUGUGGGAAGGCCCAGACAGCCAGGAUGUUGGCUUAGAAGCAGCCAUCAUUUAAAGAAAGCGUAAUAGCUCACUGGUCGAGUCGGCCUGCGCGGAAGAUGUAACGGGGCUAAACCAUGCACCGAAGCUGCGGCAGCGACGCUGAUGCGUUGUUGGGUAGGGGAGCGUUCUGUAAGCCUGCGAAGGUGGCCUGUGAGGGUUGCUGGAGGUAUCAGAAGUGCGAAUGCUGACAUAAGUAACGAUAAAGCGGGUGAAAAGCCCGCUCGCCGGAAGACCAAGGGUUCCUGUCCAACGUUAAUCGGGGCAGGGUGAGUCGACCCCUAAGGCGAGGCCGAAAGGCGUAGUCGAUGGGAAACGGGUUAAUAUUCCCGUACUUGGUGUUACUGCGAAGGGGGGACGGAGAAGGCUAUGUUGGCCGGGCGACGGUUGUCCCGGUUUAAGCGUGUAGGUGUGUGUUCCAGGUAAAUCCGGUUCACUUUAACACUGAGGCGUGAUGACGAGGCACUACGGUGCUGAAGCAACAAAUGCCCUGCUUCCAGGAAAAGCCUCUAAGCAUCAGGUAACAUCAAAUCGUACCCCAAACCGACACAGGUGGUCAGGUAGAGAAUACCAAGGCGCUUGAGAGAACUCGGGUGAAGGAACUAGGCAAAAUGGUGCCGUAACUUCGGGAGAAGGCACGCUGACACGUAGGUGAAGUGAUUUACUCACGGAGCUGAAGUCAGUCGAAGAUACCAGCUGGCUGCAACUGUUUAUUAAAAACACAGCACUGUGCAAACACGAAAGUGGACGUAUACGGUGUGACGCCUGCCCGGUGCCGGAAGGUUAAUUGAUGGGGUCAGCGCAAGCGAAGCUCCUGAUCGAAGCCCCGGUAAACGGCGGCCGUAACUAUAACGGUCCUAAGGUAGCGAAAUUCCUUGUCGGGUAAGUUCCGACCUGCACGAAUGGCGUAAUGAUGGCCAGGCUGUCUCCACCCGAGACUCAGUGAAAUUGAACUCGCUGUGAAGAUGCAGUGUACCCGCGGCAAGACGGAAAGACCCCGUGAACCUUUACUAUAGCUUGACACUGAACAUUGAGCCUUGAUGUGUAGGAUAGGUGGGAGGCUUUGAAGUGUGGACGCCAGUCUGCAUGGAGCCGACCUUGAAAUACCACCCUUUAAUGUUUGAUGUUCUAACGUGGACCCGUGAUCCGGGUUGCGGACAGUGUCUGGUGGGUAGUUUGACUGGGGCGGUCUCCUCCUAAAGAGUAACGGAGGAGCACGAAGGUUGGCUAAUCCUGGUCGGACAUCAGGAGGUUAGUGCAAUGGCAUAAGCCAGCUUGACUGCGAGCGUGACGGCGCGAGCAGGUGCGAAAGCAGGUCAUAGUGAUCCGGUGGUUCUGAAUGGAAGGGCCAUCGCUCAACGGAUAAAAGGUACUCCGGGGAUAACAGGCUGAUACCGCCCAAGAGUUCAUAUCGACGGCGGUGUUUGGCACCUCGAUGUCGGCUCAUCACAUCCUGGGGCUGAAGUAGGUCCCAAGGGUAUGGCUGUUCGCCAUUUAAAGUGGUACGCGAGCUGGGUUUAGAACGUCGUGAGACAGUUCGGUCCCUAUCUGCCGUGGGCGCUGGAGAACUGAGGGGGGCUGCUCCUAGUACGAGAGGACCGGAGUGGACGCAUCACUGGUGUUCGGGUUGUCAUGCCAAUGGCACUGCCCGGUAGCUAAAUGCGGAAGAGAUAAGUGCUGAAAGCAUCUAAGCACGAAACUUGCCCCGAGAUGAGUUCUCCCUGAGACUUAGAGUCUCCUGAAGGAACGUUGAAGACGACGACGUUGAUAGGCCGGGUGUGUAAGCGCAGCGAUGCGUUGAGCUAACCGGUACUAAUGAACCGUGAGGCUUAACCUUACAACGCCGAAG
RNAcentral lists this ribosomal RNA (2929 nucleotides) under Salmonella enterica. RNAcentral's name for it is "23S ribosomal RNA". It matches the Rfam family "Bacterial large subunit ribosomal RNA". Lineage: Bacteria; Pseudomonadati; Pseudomonadota; Gammaproteobacteria; Enterobacterales; Enterobacteriaceae. The record is from RNAcentral.